RNAcentral lists this ribosomal RNA (510 nucleotides) under uncultured bacterium. RNAcentral describes it as "partial 16S ribosomal RNA". It matches the Rfam family "Bacterial small subunit ribosomal RNA", at positions 28 to 507 of the family's 1533-position model. The record is from RNAcentral.
GACGAACGCUGGCGGCGUGCUUAACACAUGCAAGUCGAACGAAGAGCGAUGGAAGCUUGCUUCUAUCAAUCUGAGUGGCGUACGGGUGAGUAACGCGUAAUCAACCUGCCCUUCAGAGGGGGACAACAGUUGGAAACGACUGCUAAUACCGCAUACGAUCUAAUCUCGGCAUCGAGGAUAGAUUAAAGGUGGCCUCUACAUGUAAGCUAUCACUGAAGGAGGGGAUUGCGUCUGAUUCGCUAGUUGGAGGGGUAACGGCCCAACAAGGCGAUGAUCAGGAGCCGGGCUGAGAGGAUGAACGGCCACCAUGGGACUGGGACAAGGCCCAGACUCCUACGGGAAGGAGCAGUGGGGAAUCUUCCGAAAUGGAGGAAAGGCUGACGGAGCAACGCCGCGUGGGGGAUGACGGCCUUCGGGUUGUAAAGCUCUGUUAAUCGGGAAGAAAGGCCUUCUUGCGAAUAGUGAGAAGGAUUGACGGUACCGGAAUAGAAAGCAACGGCUAACUACGUG